Molecule: long non-coding RNA, 299 nt
Organism: Ostrea edulis (European flat oyster)
Lineage: Eukaryota; Metazoa; Mollusca; Bivalvia; Ostreida; Ostreidae
Exons: 2
Source: RefSeq, a predicted model, not a curated record
GGGUACAUAAUGCUGGUACAAUUGACUAUAAAAGCUUUCUUAUUUCAAAAUCAGUUGUGAAAUUGUUUAAUGUUUAUUUUCAUAUUAUUUGUAUCUGUUGUGAAAUUACAAGGUUUAUUUAAAUGGGUACAUUUCGGGUACAUUUUCAAUAGUCACAUUUAAAGUUGGUACAUUACGGGUACAAUUUAACUUUUUAAUUUACCCAGGGUACAUAUCUGGUAAACAUUUCAACAUUAAUAUUUUUUGUUGGGUACAUUUCGGGUACAUUUUAACUUUUCAAUUUUUAAUCUGGGUACAUU